GUCUGGCAUAGCUCAGUCGGUAGAGCACGAGACUCUCAAUCUCAGGGCCGUCGGUCAUAGGCCUGGCCAAGGGGGGGGCAGGGGGACAGCUGUCCCCCUUAUCAAUCAGAAUCAAUACAAAUCUGAGGUUCUGCUCCCCCCCCCUUGCAAAGCCUGUCUACCAAAAAAACCUCUGGCUAAGCCCAUGUCGUGGCUUCGAGCCCCAUGUUGGGCA
Podarcis lilfordi (Lilford's wall lizard) is the source of this 214-nucleotide non-coding RNA. Lineage: Eukaryota; Metazoa; Chordata; Lepidosauria; Squamata; Lacertidae. The record is from the annotation of a GenBank genome assembly.